RNAcentral lists this ribosomal RNA (704 nucleotides) under uncultured Lachnospiraceae bacterium. RNAcentral's name for it is "bacterial SSU rRNA". It matches the Rfam family "Bacterial small subunit ribosomal RNA", at positions 28 to 732 of the family's 1533-position model. The record is from RNAcentral. Lineage: Bacteria; Bacillati; Bacillota; Clostridia; Lachnospirales; Lachnospiraceae.
GAUGAACGCUGGCGGCGUGCCUAACACAUGCAAGUCGAACGAAGCAAUUAAGAUGAAGUUUUCGGAUGGAAUCUUGAUUGACUGAGUGGCGGACGGGUGAGUAACGCGUGGAUAACCUGCCUCACACUGGGGGAUAACAGUUAGAAAUGACUGCUAAUACCGCAUAAGCGCACAGUGCCGCAUGGCAGUGUGUGAAAAACUCCGGUGGUGUGAGAUGGAUCCGCGUCUGAUUAGCCAGUUGGCGGGGUAACGGCCCACCAAAGCGACGAUCAGUAGCCGACCUGAGAGGGUGACCGGCCACAUUGGGACUGAGACACGGCCCAAACUCCUACGGGAGGCAGCAGUGGGGAAUAUUGCACAAUGGGCGAAAGCCUGAUGCAGCGACGCCGCGUGAGUGAAGAAGUAUUUCGGUAUGUAAAGCUCUAUCAGCAGGGAAGAAAAUGACGGUACCUGACUAAGAAGCCCCGGCUAACUACGUGCCAGCAGCCGCGGUAAUACGUAGGGGGCAAGCGUUAUCCGGAUUUACUGGGUGUAAAGGGAGCGUAGACGGCGAAGCAAGUCUGAAGUGAAAACCCAGGGCUCAACCCUGGGACUGCUUUGGAAACUGUUUUGCUAGAGUGUCGGAGAGGUAAGUGGAAUUCCUAGUGUAGCGGUGAAAUGCGUAGAUAUUAGGAGGAACACCAGUGGCGAAGGCGGCUUACUGG